GUUUUGCGGCUGUAAUUGCAUCUUGCACUUGAGUGUCAUCAACGGCAAGAAGACGAUCUCCUGGUUGAAGAGCACCGCAACGAUCAGCUAUACUCGCUGGACGAAGACUCUCAAUAUAGACGCCAUUUGGAGUUUCCCUUACAAAAAUAAUUAAAAUCACCGGAAGGUCCUCGCUCGAGUUGAACGAGUAGUGGACCGGAAGUAGCGGCUCGAGCCUCAUCCAUAUUGGCAAUAUCGUAUUCGAUUGUGAGGGAUGCAACUGGAGAAUCAGAACUUCUUCGAAGAGCUCGUUGUGCUUCCGCCAAGUCUGUGGCGUUUGGAUUUGUGUAAGAAAAUCCUCUGAACACAUUCUGAUCCAUCGAAGUCAGGAUGUCCUCUGGAACAGCUGUGAGUCGCGGUCGUUCUGCCGUGAACGCUGUGUCAAAGUAUCUCGUAUCAAGAGUAUGCUCCACCGCUGGUUUAAAAGGUGCUUCCAAUUGUCUUCGUU
Long non-coding RNA from Leptopilina boulardi, 487 nucleotides. RefSeq lists it as uncharacterized. The transcript is spliced from 3 exons. The record is from RefSeq and is a predicted model, not a curated record. Lineage: Eukaryota; Metazoa; Arthropoda; Insecta; Hymenoptera; Figitidae.